Molecule: non-coding RNA, 29 nt
Filed under: Rattus norvegicus (Norway rat)
Lineage: Eukaryota; Metazoa; Chordata; Mammalia; Rodentia; Muridae
Source: RNAcentral
UCUUUCGGUGAUGAGAAGGGAGACCAUAC